GACGAACGCUGGCGGCGUGCUUAACACAUGCAAGUCGAACGGAAAGGCCUCUUUCGGGGGGUACUCGAGUGGCGAACGGGUGAGUAACACGUGAGUAACCUGCCCUUGACUUUGGGAUAACUUCAGGAAACUGGGGCUAAUACCGGAUAGGAGCUCCUGCUGCAUGGUGGGGGUUGGAAAGUUUCGGCGGUUGGGGAUGGACUCGCGGCUUAUCAGCUUGUUGGUGGGGUAGUGGCUUACCAAGGCUUUGACGGGUAGCCGGCCUGAGAGGGUGACCGGCCACAUUGGGACUCAGAUACGGCCCAGACUCCUACGGGAGGCAGCAGUGGGGAAUAUUGCACAAUGGGUGGAAGCCUGAUGCAGCAACGCCGUGUGCGGGAUGACGGCCUUCGGGUUGUAAACCGCUUUCGCUCAUGACGAAGCUUUGUGUGACGGUAGUGGGUAAAGAAGCACCGGCUAACUACGUG
This 467-nucleotide ribosomal RNA is filed under the name uncultured bacterium. RNAcentral's name for it is "partial 16S ribosomal RNA". It matches the Rfam family "Bacterial small subunit ribosomal RNA", at positions 28 to 507 of the family's 1533-position model. The record is from RNAcentral.